CAGCAGCCGCGGGAAUACGGAGGGUGCAAGCGUUAAUCGGAAUUACUGGGCGUAAAGCGCACGCAGGCGGUCUGACAAGUCAGAUGUGAAAUCCCCGGGCUUAACCUGGGAACUGCAUUUGAAACUGUCAGGCUGGAGUCUUGUAGAGGGGGGUGGAAUUCCAGGUGUAGCGGUGAAAUGCGUAGAGAUCUGGAGGAAUACCGGUGGCGAAGGCGGCCCCCUGGACAAAGACUGACGCUCAGGUGCGAAAGCGUGGGGAGCAAACAGGAUUAGAUACCCCUGUAGUCCCUGUCUCUCAUAC
RNAcentral lists this ribosomal RNA (301 nucleotides) under uncultured bacterium. Its description in RNAcentral is "partial 16S ribosomal RNA". It matches the Rfam family "Bacterial small subunit ribosomal RNA", at positions 509 to 809 of the family's 1533-position model. The record is from RNAcentral.